UAGGAACCAAAAAAAGAACGGAAGACU
Molecule: non-coding RNA, 27 nt
Filed under: Cricetulus griseus (Chinese hamster)
Lineage: Eukaryota; Metazoa; Chordata; Mammalia; Rodentia; Cricetidae
Source: RNAcentral